AAUUUGUUGUUGUUGCUUCUGGCUUUUAAUUUUAUUGUGAUGUGGUCUAUAGAAUGCUACUUCUUUGGCAUUUGUUAGGACGUGGUUGGUAGCAUACUAUAUGGUCAAUUUAUUAAUUUGUAAUUUUUUAAUUAAAAAAGGUUUUAGAGACAGGAUCUCGCUAUGUUUCCCAGGCUGGAGUGCAGUCACUAUUCACAGGCAAAAGCAUAGCACACUACAGCCCUUUAACUCCUGGGCUCAAGCAAUCCUCCUGCUUCAGCUUUCCAAGUAGCUAGGACUACAGGUGCAUGAUAAUUUCACUUCACACUUUAUUUUUAAAAGUUUAUUUAUGCUUGAGAACAUGUGUAUUCUUUAAUUCUCAGAGUUCUAUAUAUGUCUCUUUGUUCAAGCUUGUUAAUUAUGUUGCCUCAAUUGUCUAUUUAAUUACUAAUUUUUGUCUAUAUAACUACUGAUUUCUGCUUAGAUCUAUCAACUACGGAUCUAUCAAAUCUGUGAAAGGAAUCUUAAAAUCUCCACUAUGUUGCUAUCUAAAUUUCUUUUCCUUUUGUAUCAGUUUUCUGUAGAUUUUGAGGCUAAACUGUUAGUGUGAACAAAAGUUCUCUGAAAAGGAAUGUGAAAGAGACUUUACUGCAGUGAACAGUUUACAAAUUGGGGAGACACAGCCCUCAGUGUAAAAUGAAGGUGCAUUCCUGAGAACAAAGGGAGGCUUUGGGUUUCACAGUGAAAGCUCCUGUCCAGGUUCCUAAUAAGAUCUGUUUAUGCAAAUGAAAGAUACAAACUUGCUUAGUUCUGACUGGGUAACAGAGCUGAGCUCUGAUUGGUUGAUACAGCCGAGCCCUGUUUGUUGAUACAACUGAGCUUGCAUCAACAUUGGUUGGUUCAGGUGAGCUCUGGAUGUGUAUCAAGGUGGAACAGAGGUCUUGGUUUUGGCAGAACUCAGAGUUGGUGUGUGAACUGUAGUCAGCCAAUGGUCGCUUGGCUCUAUUAUAAAUGUAGGACUGGUUAGCCACUUGGGAUCCAUGUUGAAAGAUUGGCUCUUUCAGAUAUAUGUUCACAUUAGGUACAUAUGUGAUUAUUACAUCUUUACGAUUAAUUUUUUCUUUAAUGAAUAUGUAAUGUCCUUCUUAUUCAUAAUCAUGUCUUUUGUCUUAAUUAUUCUUUCAUCUGAUACUAUUUUUUCACCAGUGGCUUUUUUUUUUUUUUGGUUAAUAUUUGCCUGGUAUAUCCUUCUAUCCUUUAUCAUUCACUUUUCUAUUUUAGAUAUGCUCCUUAUAAACAGCAUAUAGCUAAAACUUUUCCUAUUAUAAGAGUUUCCACUUUUUAAUUAAUAAGACAAUCUCUUUACAUUUAUUGUGCUUGCUUUUUUAAAAUACUAAUUCUCUUUAACUUCCUGCCUUGUACUGGCUUGAUUAUGAAGUUUUUGUGUGCUUAUUUAUAUGAAAUAUUCCAUUCAUGAAGAUAAGAAUUGAGACCAGUAUAGGUAAAAUGAACUUCACACACGCAGAACGCAGCUUUAUCGAAUUGUUUUUCAUCCUUUGUUUGGAAAUCACAGAUUCUGCUCCUAUUUGUUUUAGUGGUAGCCAUUAGCUUUUAAACAUGCAUCUGUGACCUAACCCAGGACAAGAAACUUCAAGUACUUUUAUUCCAAUCUCAUCAUUUAUUCAGUUUGUAAUAGCUUUUUAGUAUUUUAUUUAAAAAAAUCCUUUAAACUACUCAUUAUUUCUCUUUUUGAUAGUUUGAGUCAAUGCCUGUCUAGAUUUACCUAUAGACUUGACAACUAUAUUGUUUGCCUGUGAGCAUUAAAAAACAAUAUUUUCUGUUAGUGGCGAACUGUAAUAGCUUUUUAUGAAAAUGUCUUUAUUUUACUCUCAGUUUUUAGUUGUGGUUUAGUUGAUAAUAGAAUUCUAAGUUGCUAGUUAUUUUCCCUCAGUACUUUGAAGCUAUUAUUCCAGUAUUUUCUAUCCUGUAAUGUUGCUAUUAGAAAUUCUGUUGCUAUUUGGGUUAU
Molecule: long non-coding RNA, 2005 nt
Filed under: Homo sapiens (human)
Lineage: Eukaryota; Metazoa; Chordata; Mammalia; Primates; Hominidae
Description: non-protein coding lnc-COX10-9:2
Source: RNAcentral